AUGGCCUCCUCGGACGCCAACUCGGCCACGAGCGGCGGCGCCUCGGCGUCCGCGAACCCCGUCCUGGAGGACUUCUUCGACCAACUAGAUCUGAACGAUGAGGAAUUCAACGAUGUGGGAAUUGAUGAGGAGGAUCCGGUGAUCCAAGAAAGCGUGCGGUGGUUAGCCCUUGCUAGGGUUCAUACCGAAAAGAACUUCUCCCCGGCGGCCUUCUACAAGGAUAUGAGGGCGGCCUGGAAUGCGGCACAAAGGGUGAGAUUUCGCCCUGUUGGCCCCAAUAGAUUCGUAGUCCAGGCCUCAUGCCUGGGUGAUUGGGAGCGGAUGAUGAUGCAUGGGCCAUGGCUAUUUCGAAACAUGGCGGUUCUGUUGUGCCUGUAUGAUGGGUUUACCAAAGCUGAUGAGGUAGUCUUCGAUCAUAUGCCUAUUUGGCUUUAGAUUCACAAGUUGUUGGAUCCCUAUUGCAAGCAGGAGAUUGUGGGCAAGCUGUUGAAAGGCGGGUGCAAAAUCCUGGAGAUGAGGCUGAACGGCAAUACCCGCGGUGACUACAUUAGGGUUAGGGUGGAGCAUGACAUAAAACUCCCCCUCACCAAGUUUGUGAGCAUUGUUCGAUCUCAAGCAAGACAAGUCUACCUGGUUCGCUAUGAAAAGUUGGCCAGAUUCUGCAAGUUCUGCGGCCUCAUUGGUCAUGAGCACAAGGAGUGCGGCUCUGGGGUGCAUGAUCAGCAGAAGCUCAAGUUCGGAGACUGGCUAUACGCCGACGGCCCUAGUCGUUCCCGUCCCGAACCAAACCCUAGCACGGCUAAUGCCCCUCGGUAG
This 816-nucleotide ribosomal RNA is filed under the name Triticum aestivum (bread wheat). RNAcentral's name for it is "partial small subunit ribosomal RNA". Lineage: Eukaryota; Viridiplantae; Streptophyta; Magnoliopsida; Poales; Poaceae. The record is from RNAcentral.